UAAUUAUUAUGAAAAGUAUUAUAAUUGAAAUCUAAUGCUCGAAGUGAAUUUAUUAAAAACAAAAUCAUAAAGUAAGAAAGCCGAUUAGAAUAAACAGAUGAUGAAAAGUCAAUUCUUGAAUUGCUUAUCAAAUGAUGGUUAGAACUAAAAAAACAGCAAAAGAAGAAAAAUAACAAUGAGAAUAGGAAGACAACUGGGGGAAAAAUAAAGGGGACAGGGACAGUGCAACGGGGCACAAUAAUGGUGAGAGCACACAAAAUGAAGAGACCAGGCGGGUUGGGGUGUAUGGAAGGGAAGGAGAAAUACGGUCGAUGCCGUUGUUGGAUUGCAUGCUCGGAUCACGUGGACAUCACUGGGAAUCCGCGUGUUCGCUGUUCGCUCUGGUCUGUGGUUUGGAGUGUAGCUGUGGCAACUCGUUUUGCUAUCACGUCCCCGUGAGCGUUCACUGACUCGACGCUUUGGCCCCGGGGAUGUGUACCUGAGUUGAACGUCGACGGGAGGAGGGGGACUAGGAUGACCCAGGUGUUUUUAUCCGAAGUGGAAUAAGAAGUCCCGGGUGCACGAUUUUGAGUUACGGUUUAGGUGACCCUCUGAGAUAUUUUUGAACUUUGUAUACAUACAAUAUCGCUCGUGAAAAUUCAAAUCUAAAAGCUUGUAAUUUUUAAGAGCAAUUUUCAUAAAAUUCUCUUACUUUUCAUCGUUGACGAAUCAGUUAUUUUUUCAUUCAAUAUUCAAGUAAUUCUCGUUUUUCAAGUCUAGGGGACGUUGAAACCCAUUUACAAUUUUUGAAACUUUGAGAGCAAUCGAAAAACGUCAAAUUUUCAUGGGAAAAGUAAUGAUUGUUUAACAUCAAAAAAAUUUUUUUCUCUUUUUGGGCACUAUCUGCAAUAAUUCCGCACUUCCCUGAGGCCUGUCAUCGUUUAAAGGGACUAAAGAGGGAGUUUAAAGGGACUCAGUUAAAAGACUUUCGACGGAUAUGAAUUGAUGAUUUAAAUUUAAACGAAUAGCUAAAGAAAAUUGACGGGUUGCUUAAGAUUAUGACAUUAUGCAGUGAUGAAUUUAUUGUGAUAUUGCAUAUUGUUAAUUGAAUACUUCUGUCUCAGUUCAGUAGAAACCCAGUAGAAUUUUCUAACGAGAGUCACCGCAUUCGCUUGAAAUUUCUAUUAUGAUAUCCAUAUAGAAAACGUAUAAAGACAUCAUGGACAAUGAAAAAAAAUCAUUUGCAUUUCUUUAAUGAAUUAAUUCAUUUGUUUUUCACUAUCUUCACAAAUUUUUACUUUCUAAAACAGGCAAUAGAAAUUGGGUAAUAUAAGAGUUCAAUUCGUUGAGAAAUUCUUUCCAUAACGGAAAAAGUAAGGUCGGUGAAUGUUUGACCAUAAUGACCAUACGAUGUGUCUAUAGCGAAAAAAAUGUUUUAUCCAGCUGAAGAGUAAAAAAUAAUCAAGUUCUCAUUAUUUAAUUGACAGGCAAUUAGCUGAUUCUUGAUUGUUCCACAAUUUUUUACGCCCAAUCCCCUUCAACAAUAUUAUUUUAUCAGUCAAAAUUUAUUUCAACUCCAUCAUCCGAUCCUGUAUGGAUUUCGAACCGGAAUAUUCUUACGAAAAGUGAUACGGAUGUACACUAAAAAUAGAAUAAAAUGAUGAUGUACAUGAACAAAUCACUGGCCUUGGUCGUAUCUAACGCUAGAAAAAUCCGAUAUGAGAACAUGGAACGUAUGAAAACAAUGCAAAAGGUCAAUUCUUCACGUGAUUUCUUCAGAUAAUUUGGUUUAAAAAUUCAUCUAGAGAUCAAGAAUGCUUGAGCAGACUAUGAUUCAUGAAAUAAUCGGCGACAAGAAUAACUCACACAAAAAGCAGAUGAAAAUAAUGUUAAAAAACGCUCGAAUGAAAAAAUUCUUAGAAGAAUGCGAAUAAGUUGAAUUUCAUCUAUCAGUUAUGGAUUAUUUCUAUCAAAAAAAAAUUGAGAAAACUCAAAUAAUCAGAUCAUUAUCUAGAUAUUUAUGAAAAACUGCCCAUGGAGUAAAAAUCGAAGUAACUGAAUUCACCAUUGAUUUUAAUUUUAACAAAAUCGACUAUGCUAUUUAAAAUUACAUGUGUGUGCAACGUCAAUGAUUUUAUGGUCGACCACUGCGGCAGAUUGGUCUUAAGUGGGUACAAUGUAUCAAUUCUAUGACGAUUAAAUUGUCAUCUGGCAACUCGAACUUUGUUCAAUGCAGUACUGUGUUCAAUUGAACGAUGCCAAGUUCAAUUAAAAAAUUUAUCUCGAGGCAUUUGCUUGUUUUUAUUGGUACGACAAUGAAUUCAGUAAGAUAUCAACCAUCUGUAAGGAGUCUGCAUUCAUUGUCGGAGAGUUUUGGGUGUAAUUUCUUUUCAUUUUGAUAAUUAAAUUGAUAAUAAUAUAUAAACCAGGACAUGGGAAUACACUCCUUAACUAGAUGUAUAGAAUGAAGAGAGAAUGAAAAAACCUAUAAAAGAGACUAGACAAGCUUUGUUGACGUCUCGACUGCGCUUCGUAAAAAAGAUAAUACGAUACUGCACAGUUUUAUACGAAUACAACGGGUGAUAUGAAGUAUGAUGUUGGCGACCCGAGGCUAUUAUAACUCCUAAUUACAUUGAGAUUAAAUAUCCAGAUGGAUCUCAUGUUACUCUACAUAAAACAUCUUAGAAAAUCAAAUACGACCAUUUGACAAUAAAAGAAGAUUAGAGGAGUGAGAUGUCAGUACCUCUGUUCCCCUGGAACAAAGUUCACCAUUCGGGAACGGACCGAGCAUGAAUUAUUAGUUUUCCCGCACAAUCUGCGUAAAGUUUAGAGGUCACUGGAAAUAUAAAAUAUUAAAUGGAAAAAAUCAAUAUAAUUCUUUUUUUCUAUGUAACUUAUUCCCUGUAGAAUAAACUAAAAUGAAAUAUAAUUUAUUUCUUUGGUA
Molecule: long non-coding RNA, 2923 nt
Organism: Diachasmimorpha longicaudata
Lineage: Eukaryota; Metazoa; Arthropoda; Insecta; Hymenoptera; Braconidae
Exons: 3
Source: RefSeq, a predicted model, not a curated record